RNAcentral lists this ribosomal RNA (411 nucleotides) under uncultured bacterium. RNAcentral's name for it is "bacterial SSU rRNA". It matches the Rfam family "Bacterial small subunit ribosomal RNA", at positions 29 to 486 of the family's 1533-position model. The record is from RNAcentral.
AACGAACGCUGGCGGCAUGCCUAACACAUGCAAGUCGAACGAGACCUUCGGGUCUAGUGGCGCACGGGUGCGUAACGCGUGGGAACCUGCCUUUAGGUUCGGAAUAACUCAGAGAAAUUUGAGCUAAUACCGGAUAAUGUCUUCGGACCAAAGAUUUAUCGCCUUUAGAUGGGCCCGCGUUGGAUUAGCUAGUUGGUGGGGUAAAGGCCUACCAAGGCGACGAUCCAUAGCUGGUCUGAGAGGAUGAUCAGCCACACUGGGACUGAGACACGGCCCAGACUCCUACGGGAGGCAGCAGUGGGGAAUAUUGGACAAUGGGCGAAAGCCUGAUCCAGCAAUGCCGCGUGAGUGGAUGAAGCCUUAGGGUUGUAAGCUCUUUUACCCGAGAUGAUAAUGACAGUAUCGGGAGAA